AUUUACACUAACACCGUCGGACAAUGUUACAACCUUUCAGUGUAUAUAGUUUAACAAUUAACAUUGACUUGUUGGACGUGUUCUAGCGUGUUUGUACUUGGUAAUUUGUACUGACGAUGUUAAGGAUGUUAAAGAUGACAAACGUCAACGGUCUUUGCAUCGUGAAAAUACAUGACAAGUUAAAACGAUUUUAUAAAACCUAUAAAGUUGUUCUGUUGAUCUAUCCGACGUUAUUAUAGUUGGCUGCAGUUAUGACUGCGACGGAAAUAAUAAAAUAAAUCGUAUCCGGAUUCAUUGUGUAACAUAUUCUUUAAUCACGAGUUGCCGUUGUAUAAAAUAUCCACGCAUAGUCAAAUUAUCCAGUCACUUGGCUUAGUAUUUAUUCGAAAACUUUGUGGGAACUUCACUGCAUAAACUUUAUAUCAGGUAUACUACUGCAGUAUAACGCAAACAGUAUCUGUCUAUAAUGGGAAGAAGACGUCCAAACAUGAUGUAUUCUUUUAUAGCAUAACGAAAUACAAAAUUUUAAAUUAAAUAUAGGUAACCAUAAUAAACAUUUUAUAUUAUAAA
Long non-coding RNA from Aphis gossypii (cotton aphid), 570 nucleotides. RefSeq lists it as uncharacterized. The transcript has 3 exons. The record is from RefSeq and is a predicted model, not a curated record. Lineage: Eukaryota; Metazoa; Arthropoda; Insecta; Hemiptera; Aphididae.